AGUAAAGUCAGCUAAUUUAAGCUCUUGGGCCCAUACCCCAAACAUGUUGGUUAAAAUCCUUCCUCUACUA
RNAcentral lists this transfer RNA (70 nucleotides) under Dasyatis pastinaca (common stingray). RNAcentral's name for it is "tRNA-Met". It matches the Rfam family "tRNA". From Rfam's summary of the family: Transfer RNA (tRNA) molecules are approximately 80 nucleotides in length. Their secondary structure includes four short double-helical elements and three loops (D, anti-codon, and T loops). Further hydrogen bonds mediate the characteristic L-shaped molecular structure. tRNAs have two regions of fundamental functional importance: the anti-codon, which is responsible for specific mRNA codon recognition, and the 3' end, to which the tRNAs corresponding amino acid is attached (by aminoacyl-tRNA synthetases). tRNAs cope with the degeneracy of the genetic code in two manners: having more than one tRNA (with a specific anti-codon) for a particular amino acid; and 'wobble' base-pairing, i.e. permitting non-standard base-pairing at the 3rd anti-codon position. The record is from RNAcentral. Lineage: Eukaryota; Metazoa; Chordata; Chondrichthyes; Myliobatiformes; Dasyatidae.